This is a small nucleolar RNA of Setaria italica (foxtail millet), 108 nucleotides long. It matches the Rfam family "Small nucleolar RNA Z118/Z121/Z120". From Rfam's summary of the family: This family consists of several snoRNA Z118, Z121 and Z120 sequences which are members of the C/D class of snoRNA which contain the C (UGAUGA) and D (CUGA) box motifs. This family seems to be found exclusively in rice. NCBI's taxonomy places the organism in Eukaryota, Viridiplantae, Streptophyta, Magnoliopsida, Poales, Poaceae. The record is from Rfam.
UGCUUGCGGUGAUGACUUGUACAAGGACGGUAUCUGAGCGAGGUGGCUCUUGAAAUGCCAUUCCUUGCAUGAUUACAUCCAGAACCGAGACUGAUAUCUGAGCAAAAU